GACGAACGCUGGCGGCGUGCUUAACACAUGCAAGUCGAACGGACAGGCCCUGCUUUUGUGUGUUGCUCGUUUGGCGCACGCGUGAGUAACACGUGUGUAACCUGCCCUUUACUUUGUGAUAACUUUACGAAACUGCGGCUCUUACCGCAUAUGAUCUUCUGCUGCAUGGUGUGCGUUGGUAAGUUUCGGCGUUUGUGUAUGUACUCGCUGCUUAUCCGCUUGUUGGUGUGGUAGUGGCUUACCAAGGCUUUGACGGGUAGCCGGCCUGAGAGGGUUACCGGCGACAUGGGGACUGAGAGAGGGACCAGAAGGCUACGGGAGGCAGCAGGGGAGAAUAUUGCAGAAUGGGGGGAAGUCUGAUGCAGAAACGCUGGGAGCGGGAUGACGGCCUACGGGGGGUAAACAGAUGUCGAAGGUGACGAAGAGUGAGUGACGGUAAUGGGUAAAGAAGCACCGGCUAACUACGUG
This 468-nucleotide ribosomal RNA is filed under the name uncultured bacterium. RNAcentral's name for it is "partial 16S ribosomal RNA". It matches the Rfam family "Bacterial small subunit ribosomal RNA", at positions 28 to 507 of the family's 1533-position model. The record is from RNAcentral.